Molecule: long non-coding RNA, 301 nt
Filed under: Nicotiana benthamiana
Lineage: Eukaryota; Viridiplantae; Streptophyta; Magnoliopsida; Solanales; Solanaceae
Description: long non-coding RNA (NBEN_LNC024774)
Source: RNAcentral
GACAAGAAAAUCAAAUAUCAUUGACAUUAAGAGAAAAGAAAGAAAAAGAAAAUAUUGAUUUAAACUGGAUAAGAAGGUCUGAAAUAUGAGUGGAAGGAUUGAUGGAUUUACUUACGCCUUUAGGACGUAACAUACUAAAAUUUCCAAAUGAGGAUUUGAUUUUCACCAAAAUAUUCUUUUUCUUUUUCUAUCAGCCGUCCCCUUCCCAAGAAAAAGUAUAACAUGAUCUGGUAGAUGCUUUAGACAUCUAAUAGGAAAAGAUGGCGUUUGGCGUAUUGGCUGAAACCAUACGGAAUUUAAG